Solea senegalensis (Senegalese sole) is the source of this 1077-nucleotide long non-coding RNA. RefSeq lists it as uncharacterized. The transcript has 2 exons. Lineage: Eukaryota; Metazoa; Chordata; Actinopteri; Pleuronectiformes; Soleidae. The record is from RefSeq and is a predicted model, not a curated record.
UUCACAGAGUAUGUUGCCGGGGUAACUGACUCAGAGUUAAGCUGAACUGGCUUUGUGAAACCGAAAAACCAGAGUUUCCCUCACCUCAACUCAGAGUUUUCACUAAACCUGCUUUCUAAAACGGGCCCCUAGAGUUAAGGAUUUAACUCAGAGUUUGUUGAACCUUCUUUCGGAAACAGGCCCCAGACCUCAGACAUGCACCUCACAUCAGACCUCAGACCUGCACCUCAAACCAGACCUCAGACCUGCGCCUUACACCAGACCUCAGACCAGACCCCAAACCAGACCCUAAACCAGAAACCAGACCUCCUUUUCUCUCGGUCGCUCAUGAGGGUCAGGAGAAGCGUUUUUUUUCUACUUCGGCAUCUCUGUGUUCCAGGGUGAAGCUGUUUGAGGGAACAAAGAUGGUGGCUGACUCAGGUGUGGUGAUUGACAGCUCCAUGAGAGGAGGACGACUCGGCGUUUUCUGCUUCUCUCAGGAAAACAUAAUCUGGUCCAACCUGCGCUACAGGUGCAACGACACGGUGCCUGCAGAUUUCCACUCUCAUCGUAAACAAGUUCUGAUGCACAUUCAGGUUUGAGAGUAGCAGGUGAAGCAGUGACAUCAUCAUCUUCAUCAUCUCUGCUGACUCAUGUCGUCAUAACAACGCAGAAGAAGCUACACAGUGUGUUCACACACACUAAUGAUGAUGUCACUGAUGAUGUCUUCAACUAGUGGACAAACUGUGACAUCAGGACCUGGACCGGACUGUAAACCAUCAGAACCUGAACCAGACUGUAAACCACCAGAACCUGGACCAGACUGUUAACCACCUGAACUGGACUGUAAACCACUAGAACCUGAACAGGGUUGUAAACCACCUGAACCUGGACCGGACUGUAAACCACCAGAACCUGGACCGGACUGUGAACCAGCUGGACCAGACUGUAAACCACCAGACUCCCCUUUAAUGAUUGAAAUGCUGAGUCAUUGAAACAUAGAUAUUGAUCAGAUCACAUGACCCUGCUGACGAAUCAUAAGCUACAACAUAUUUGAUGUUUUUCAUGUUUGAAAUAAAAAAUCUGAUCAUUUUAAAA